UACGUAGGGUGCGAGCGUUUAAUCGGAAUUACUGGGCGUAAAGCGUGCGCAGGCGGCGCGUUAAGACAGGUGUGAAAGCCCCGAGCUUAACUUGGGAAUUGCGCUUGUGACUGGCGUGCUGGAGUGUGGCAGAGGGAGGUGGAAUUCCACGUGUAGCAGUGAAAUGCGUAGAGAUGUGGAGGAACACCGAUGGCGAAGGCGC
RNAcentral lists this ribosomal RNA (202 nucleotides) under uncultured bacterium. Its description in RNAcentral is "partial 16S ribosomal RNA". It matches the Rfam family "Bacterial small subunit ribosomal RNA", at positions 524 to 725 of the family's 1533-position model. The record is from RNAcentral.